AAUCGCUAGUAAUCGCGGAUCAGCAUGCCGCGGUGAAUACGUUCCCGGGCCUUGUACACACCGCCCGUCACACCAUGAGAGUUUGUAACACCCAAAGCCGGUGGGGUAACCUUUUGGAGCCAGCCGUCUAAGGUGGGACAGAUGAUUGGGGUGAAGUCGUAACAAGGUAUC
RNAcentral lists this ribosomal RNA (171 nucleotides) under uncultured bacterium. RNAcentral's name for it is "partial 16S ribosomal RNA". It matches the Rfam family "Bacterial small subunit ribosomal RNA", at positions 1330 to 1500 of the family's 1533-position model. The record is from RNAcentral.